AGAAACAGUGUGGCAAUGUUUAUUAUUUGUGAAAAGUGUAAUGAAUAGCAAUAGCUUGCUUUGUGUCAAAGCAAGUGAGAAAUGGCCAUUUGUUACCCUAAAUGUGUUUGUAUUCCUUUUGAAAAGAUGGACGACUUUGUGAAGGAAAAGCUCAAUGUGUGAAAUUGGACUGAUAUAUCCCUUCUUUUGAAGGAUGCCUGGUUGUGACCCCAGGUAGGAUUCAUAAACCAGCAACAGGGUUCAUAGCGCCUUAGCAAUGUCUUCAUGAAAAAAGCCAGGGCAGGCGAAUAAAUUUGCCACAAGAGAUCCAAGUCAUUCUGCCAGCCUGGAACAAACCUGGUGCAGUACCUAGCCAUAGCAACCACAGAGUACCACUUCAUUUUUAAUGCUUUGGGGGCAGCAUUGGAGCUUUUGUCCCUUUUGGGUGCAGUUGAUGGGUGUUUGAAAGAAUUUUAGGUCUUUUAUAUCAGUUACCCAAAACGCUGCACCCAGGUUAAGAGUUCAUUCAGAAUGUCAUUUUUAAAAUGCUAGGAAGUGAAUCAAAUGCAAUUAAGUGAUCUCAACUUCCUGUGAUACAAGAUGAAAUCAUUGUUACCUAUGUAUUUGAAAAUUCUUGCUCACAUGUACUUAAAUAAAUUGUAAAUACAUUUUUUUUACUGUA
Phyllopteryx taeniolatus (common seadragon) is the source of this 661-nucleotide long non-coding RNA. RefSeq lists it as uncharacterized. The record is from RefSeq and is a predicted model, not a curated record. The transcript is spliced from 3 exons. NCBI's taxonomy places the organism in Eukaryota, Metazoa, Chordata, Actinopteri, Syngnathiformes, Syngnathidae.